This 1053-nucleotide long non-coding RNA is filed under the name Homo sapiens (human). Its description in RNAcentral is "HSALNT0339846". Lineage: Eukaryota; Metazoa; Chordata; Mammalia; Primates; Hominidae. The record is from RNAcentral.
UAUAGCAGUAUGAAAAUGGACUAAUACACCUUGUCUUCAGAAAGACUUUCCCUAGAUGCUCAGCACACCUGCUAAAUUUCUCCAGUGUGUUGACAUUAGAGCAGCCUUGUCCAAUAGAGCUUUCUAAGAUGAUGGAAUGUUCUAUGUCUGCACCAUUCAAUACGGCAACUACUAGCCACGUGUGGCUAUUGAGCACUUGAAAUGUGGCCAGUGUGACUGAGGAACUGAAUUUUUUUUUUAGCUUUAAUUAAGUGUCAAUAGCCACACAUAGCUAGUGGCCAGCAUACUGGACAGGUCGAAUUUAGAAACUCUUCUUUCUGCCACUGUUGACUAUGACAAAAGAAUGAGUCAUAGAGAGGAAUGGACUUCUCCCAUUCUACUGGGGCAGCCUGGAGAACACUUGGGCUUCGAAGACCACUUCCCUCUGCUCCCCAGGGCCUUCCCCACUGGCUUCAGAGGCGUGACUGAGGGCAAGAAGGAAGAGCCAAGAUUCUGUCUACAUGUGUGAUCGACAAUGUUAAUUCUCAUAUUGUACAUUGUGCCAUCUCUCCCUGAACUUUAUUGAUGUUUUGAAGCAAAACAACCAUUUACUCCUCUCCUAAAGAUUCCAGUUAAUGAGGCCCCUUUGCAGAGCGCCAGCCAUUUCCAGGGAGGCACAGUGGUAGCAUUUCAGUGCCGUUCUGCUCAGGAAAGACGACCAAACAGCCCUCCUGCCCUCACCUUUGCACACCACACAUCUCAGCUUCAACUCGCCAUCACGGUGGUCCCAGGCACGGUCGCUGCAACAUCAGAAGGGCGGCAUUUCAGCAAGCAUUUGUUUUUGGGGUAGGGGUAGUGGUAAUUACCAGCACAUGAUUAUUUUAUUUUGUCUGAAUUAUUUACAAUGGAAGGAAGCAGUUUGGAGGGAAGGGGAUAUUAGGGAAUGAGUUCAAUCCCACUUGCAUUGAUUCUACCCAGAGCAAGAAGAGCAAGCCUAUUGAGAAGAAAAAUCACUUCCUUUUCUUCCUCUUUCCUCUCCACCCCUAAGUCUUAGAAAUAAAUAAAUAAUGCAAA